GGCGGGGGAGGAUGUUUUUGAAAAUAUCACACACUUGGGGGCUAGUUCACGCUGCAGCUGGUGCGUGGGGGAUGCGCGUCUGCGAUGUCCCGCAGAACUCGCACACACGCACACACACGGGUGAUCGUGUUCGAACUGUUCACGUGUCUGCAUGUGUGUUUGGAGGGGGCCACUCAUGGACGGCCAUGCAUGUGCACGGAUUGGCCGGUGGCAGUGGUCGAUUUGUCUUGUUCAUUUUGCUGUGGUGUAUGGGUUCUCCAUUUUGACGGGUUGUGUGUGGGAGGAGUUUUGUGGGUAUUACAAGCU
Molecule: long non-coding RNA, 306 nt
Filed under: Androctonus crassicauda
Lineage: Eukaryota; Metazoa; Arthropoda; Arachnida; Scorpiones; Buthidae
Source: RNAcentral